This 468-nucleotide ribosomal RNA is filed under the name uncultured bacterium. RNAcentral's name for it is "partial 16S ribosomal RNA". It matches the Rfam family "Bacterial small subunit ribosomal RNA", at positions 28 to 507 of the family's 1533-position model. The record is from RNAcentral.
GACGAACGCUGGCGGCGUGCUUAACACAUGCAAGUCGAACGGAAAGGCCCUGCUUUUGUGGGGUGCUCGAGUGGCGAACGGGUGAGUAACACGUGAGUAACCUGCCCUUGACUUUGGGAUAACUUCAGGAAACUGGGGCUAAUACCGGAUAGGAGCUCCUGCUGCAUGGUGGGGGUUGGAAAGUUUCGGCGGUUGGGGAUGGACUCGCGGCUUAUCAGCUUGUUGGUGGGGUAGUGGCUUACCAAGGCCUUGACGGGUAGCCGGCCUGAGAGGGUGACCGGCCACAUUGGGACUGAGAUACGGCCCAGACUCCUACGGGAGGCAGCAGUGGGGAAUAUUGCACAAUGGGCGGAAGACUGAUGCAGCAACGCCGCGUGCGGGAUGACGGCCUUCGGGUUGUAAACCGCUUUCGCCUGUGACGAAGCGUGAGUGACGGUAAUGGGUAAAGAAGCACCGGCUAACUACGUG